This 1559-nucleotide ribosomal RNA is filed under the name Pogonus chalceus. RNAcentral's name for it is "bacterial SSU rRNA". It matches the Rfam family "Bacterial small subunit ribosomal RNA". Lineage: Eukaryota; Metazoa; Arthropoda; Insecta; Coleoptera; Carabidae. The record is from RNAcentral.
AGAGUUUGAUCCUGGCUCAGGAUAAACGCUGGCGGCGUGCCUAAUACAUGCAAGUCGAACGCUAGUCGCCGAAAAUGAUCUGAGUGCUUGCACGAAGUGAAAAUGAGGCAUAUGGCUAGAGUGGCGAACGGGUGAGUAACACGUGGACAAUCUGCCCUUUAGCGGGGAAUAACAUUUGGAAACAGAUGCUAAUACCGCAUAACAACAGUUUUCGCAUGAUUACUGUUUGAAAGGCCCUUUUGGGUCACUAGAGGAUGAGUCCGCGGGGUAUUAGUUAGUUGGUGGGGUAAAGGCCUACCAAGACGAUGAUGCCUAGCCGAGUUGAGAGACUGAUCGGCCACAUUGGGACUGAGACACGGCCCAAACUCCUACGGGAGGCUGCAGUAGGGAAUUUUCCACAAUGGACGAAAGUCUGAUGGAGCAACGCCGCGUGUGUGAUGAAGGCCUUCGGGUUGUAAAGCACUGUUGUAAGGGAAGAAAAACUAGAAGAAGAGAAUGCUUCUGGUCUGACGGUACCUUACCAGAAAGGGAUGGCUAAAUACGUGCCAGCAGCCGCGGUAAUACGUAUGUCCCGAGCGUUAUCCGGAUUUAUUGGGCGUAAAGCGAGCGCAGACGGUUUAUUAAGUCUGAUGUGAAAGCCCUCGGCUUAACCGAGGAAUUGCAUUGGAAACUGGUUUACUUGAGUAUCGUAGAGGAAAGUGGAACUCCAUGUGUAGCGGUGGAAUGCGUAGAUAUAUGGAAGAACACCAGUGGCGAAGGCGACUUUCUGGACGAUUACUGACGUUGAGGCUCGAAAGUGUGGGUAGCAAACGGGAUUAGAUACCCCGGUAGUCCACACCGUAAACGAUGAGUGCUAGGUGUUGAGGGGUUUCCGCCUCCCAGUACCGCAGCUAACGCGUUAAGCACUCCGCCUGAGGAGUACGGCCGCAAGGCUAAAACUCAAAGGAAUUGACGGGGGCCCGCACAAGCGGUGGAGCAUGUGGUUUAAUUCGAAGCAACGCGAAAAACCUUACCAGGUCUUGACAUCCUGUUGACCAGGCUUGUAAUGAGCCUCUCUCUUCGGAGUAACAGUGACAGGUGGUGCAUGGUCGUCGUCAGCUCGUGUCGUGAGAUGUUGGGUUAAGUCCCGCAACGAGCGCAACCCUUAUCAUUAGUUGCCAGCAUUUAGUUGGGCACUCUAAUGAGACUGCCGGUGAUAAACCGGAGGAAGGUGGGGAUGACGUCAGAUCAUCAUGCCCCUUAUGACCUGGGCUACACACGUGCUACAAUGGCUAGUACAACGAGAAGCAAACCAGUGAUGGCAAGCAAAUCUCUUAAAACUAGUCUCAGUUCGGACUGCAGGCUGCAACUCGCCUGCACGAAGUCGGAAUCGCUAGUAAUCGCGAAUCAGCAUGUCGCGGUGAAUACGUUCCCGGGCCUUGUACACACCGCCCGUCAAAUCACGGAAGUUGGGGGUACCCAAAGUCGUCGUGUUAACCCUCGUGGAGACAGACGCCUAAGGUAAAACUAAUGACUGGGAUUAAGUCGUAACAAGGUAGCCGUAGGAGAACCUGCGGCUG